UGCUGAGCGCCGGCUAACAGGUUAAUACCCAACUCCGUCAGGUCUGGAAGGAAGCAGCGGCAAGUAUUUAAUUUGUGUAGCCGGAGUGCUCGGCAUUU
This 98-nucleotide signal recognition particle RNA is filed under the name Ignavibacteria bacterium RBG_13_36_8. RNAcentral describes it as "signal recognition particle sRNA small type". It matches the Rfam family "Bacterial small signal recognition particle RNA". Rfam says of the family: The signal recognition particle (SRP) is a universally conserved ribonucleoprotein involved in the co-translational targeting of proteins to membranes. Archaeal SRP consists of a 7S RNA and homologues of the eukaryotic SRP19 and SRP54 proteins. Lineage: Bacteria; Pseudomonadati; Ignavibacteriota; Ignavibacteria. The record is from RNAcentral.